AGAGUUUGAUCAUGGCUCAGAACGAACGCUGGCGGCAGGCCUAACAAAUGCAAGUCGAGCGCGCCUUCGGGUGAGCGGCGGACGGGUUAGUAACGCGUGGGAACGUGCCCUUCUCUACGGAAUAGCCUCUGGAAACGGAGAGUAAUACCGUAUACGCCCUUUGGGGGAAAGAUUUAUCGGAGAAGGAUCGGCCCGCGUUAGAUUAGGUAGUUGGUGGGGUAACGGCCUACCAAGCCUACGAUCUAUAGCUGGUUUUAGAGGAUGGUCAGCAACACUGGGACUGAGACACGGCCCAGACUCCUACGGGAGGCAGCAGUGGGGAAUCUUAGACAAUGGGGGCAACCCUGAUCUAGCCAUGCCGCGUGAGUGAUGAAGGCCUUAGGGUCGUAAAGCUCUUUCGCCUGUGAUGAUAAUGACAGUAGCAGGUAAAGAAACCCCGGCUAACUCCGUGCCAGCAGCCGCGGUAAUACGGAGGGGGUUAGCGUUGUUCGGAAUUACUGGGCGUAAAGCGCGCGUAGGCGGAUUAGAAAGUUGGGGGUGAAAUCCCGGGGCUCAACCCCGGAACUGCCUCCAAAACUGCUAGUCUAGAGUUCGAGAGAGGUGAGUGGAAUUCCGAGUGUAGAGGUGAAAUUCGUAGAUAUUCGGAGGAACACCAGUGGCGAAGGCGGCUCACUGGCUCGAUACUGACGCUGAGGUGCGAAAGUGUGGGGAGCAAACAGGAUUAGAUACCCUGGUAGUCCACACCGUAAAC
This 751-nucleotide ribosomal RNA is filed under the name uncultured Phaeobacter sp. RNAcentral's name for it is "bacterial SSU rRNA". It matches the Rfam family "Bacterial small subunit ribosomal RNA", at positions 8 to 807 of the family's 1533-position model. The record is from RNAcentral. Lineage: Bacteria; Pseudomonadati; Pseudomonadota; Alphaproteobacteria; Rhodobacterales; Roseobacteraceae.